This 253-nucleotide ribosomal RNA is filed under the name uncultured bacterium. RNAcentral's name for it is "partial 16S ribosomal RNA". It matches the Rfam family "Bacterial small subunit ribosomal RNA", at positions 524 to 776 of the family's 1533-position model. The record is from RNAcentral.
UACGUAGGGUGCAAGCGUUAAUCGGAAUUACUGGGCGUAAAGCGUGCGCAGGCGGUUUUGUAAGUCUGUCGUGCAAUCCCCGGGCUCAACCUGGGAAUUGCGAUGGAGACUGCAAGGCUUGAAUCUGGCAGAGGGGGGUAGAAUUCCACGUGUAGCAGUGAAAUGCGUAGAGAUGUGGAGGAACACCGAUGGCGAAGGCAGCCCCCUGGGUCAAGAUUGACGCUCAUGCACGAAAGCGUGGGGAGCAAACAGG